GGGUUGUGAGGUUAAGCGACUAAGCGUACACGGUGGAUGCCCUGGCAGUCAGAGGCGAUGAAGGACGUGCUAAUCUGCGAUAAGCGCCGGUAAGGUGAUAUGAACCGUUAUAACCGGCGAUUUCCGAAUGGGGAAACCCAGUGUGACUCGUCACACUAUCAUUAACUGAAUCCAUAGGUUAAUGAGGCGAACCGGGGGAACUGAAACAUCUAAGUACCCCGAGGAAAAGAAAUCAACCGAGAUUCCCCCAGUAGCGGCGAGCGAACGGGGAGGAGCCCAGAGCCUGAAUCAGCAUGUGUGUUAGUGGAAGCGUCUGGAAAGGCGCGCGAUACAGGGUGACAGCCCCGUACACAAAAGCGCAUGUGCUGUGAGCUCGAUGAGUAGGGCGGGACACGUGGUAUCCUGUCUGAAUAUGGGGGGACCAUCCUCCAAGGCUAAAUACUCCUGACUGACCGAUAGUGAACCAGUACCGUGAGGGAAAGGCGAAAAGAACCCCGGCGAGGGGAGUGAAAAAGAACCUGAAACCGUGUACGUACAAGCAGUGGGAGCACAGGUUUACCUGUGUGACUGCGUACCUUUUGUAUAAUGGGUCAGCGACUUAUAUUCUGUAGCAAGGUUAACCGAAUAGGGGAGCCGUAGGGAAACCGAGUCUUAACCGGGCGUUAAGUUGCAGGGUAUAGACCCGAAACCCGGUGAUCUAGCCAUGGGCAGGUUGAAGGUUGGGUAACACUAACUGGAGGACCGAACCGACUAAUGUUGAAAAAUUAGCGGAUGACCUGUGGCUGGGGGUGAAAGGCCAAUCAAACCGGGAGAUAGCUGGUUCUCCCCGAAAGCUAUUUAGGUAGCGCCUCGUGAAUUCAUCUCCGGGGGUAGAGCACUGUUUCGGCUAGGGGGCCAUCCCGGCUUACCAACCCGAUGCAAACUGCGAAUACCGGAGAAUGUUAUCACGGGAGACACACGGCGGGUGCUAACGUCCGUCGUGAAGAGGGAAACAACCCAGACCGCCAGCUAAGGUCCCAAAGUCAUGGUUAAGUGGGAAACGAUGUGGGAAGGCCCAGACAGCCAGGAUGUUGGCUUAGAAGCAGCCAUCAUUUAAAGAAAGCGUAAUAGCUCACUGGUCGAGUCGGCCUGCGCGGAAGAUGUAACGGGGCUAAACCAU
Molecule: ribosomal RNA, 1159 nt
Filed under: Salmonella enterica subsp. enterica serovar Kentucky
Lineage: Bacteria; Pseudomonadati; Pseudomonadota; Gammaproteobacteria; Enterobacterales; Enterobacteriaceae
Description: partial 23S ribosomal RNA
Rfam family: Bacterial large subunit ribosomal RNA
Source: RNAcentral